Molecule: ribosomal RNA, 221 nt
Filed under: Escherichia coli
Lineage: Bacteria; Pseudomonadati; Pseudomonadota; Gammaproteobacteria; Enterobacterales; Enterobacteriaceae
Also listed under: 1 other name
Description: partial 23S ribosomal RNA
Rfam family: Bacterial large subunit ribosomal RNA
Source: RNAcentral
GGGUUGUGAGGUUAAGCGACUAAGCGUACACGGUGGAUGCCCUGGCAGUCAGAGGCGAUGAAGGACGUGCUAAUCUGCGAUAAGCGUCGGUGAGGUGAUAUGAACCGUUAUAACCGGCGAUUUCCGAAUGGGGAAACCCAGUGUGUUUCGACACACUAUCAUUAACUGAAUCCAUAGGUUAAUGAGGCGAACCGGGGGAACUGAAACAUCUAAGUACCCCG